UACGGGGGGGGCAAGCGUUGUUCGGAAUUACUGGGCGUAAAGGGCUCGUAGGUGGCCAACUAAGUCAGACGUGAAAUCCCUCGGCUUAACCGGGGAACUGCGUCUGAUACUGGAUGGCUUGAGUUUGGGAGAGGGAUGCGGAAUUCCAGGUGUAGCGGUGAAAUGCGUAGAGAUCCGGCGGAACACCGGUGGUGAAGGCGGUCUCCUGGGCCGAGGGCCGACGCUGAGGCGCGAGAGCGUGGGGAGCGAACCGG
This 254-nucleotide ribosomal RNA is filed under the name uncultured bacterium. RNAcentral describes it as "partial 16S ribosomal RNA". It matches the Rfam family "Bacterial small subunit ribosomal RNA", at positions 524 to 776 of the family's 1533-position model. The record is from RNAcentral.